GGGACCUACCUGAACGUGGGGGAUAACGUAGGGAAACUUACGCUAAUCCCGCAUACGUCCUACGGGAGAAAGCGGGGGAUCUUCGGACCUCGCGCGGUCAGACGGACCGAUGUUCGAUUAGCUAGUUGGUAGGGUAAUGGCCUACCAAGGCGACGAUCGAUAGCUGGUCUGAAAGGAUGAUCAGCCACACUGGAACUGAAACACGGUCCAGACUCCUACGGGAGGUAGCAGUGGGGAAUAUUGCACAAUGGGCGCAA
This 257-nucleotide ribosomal RNA is filed under the name uncultured bacterium. RNAcentral's name for it is "partial 16S ribosomal RNA". It matches the Rfam family "Bacterial small subunit ribosomal RNA", at positions 121 to 380 of the family's 1533-position model. The record is from RNAcentral.